RNAcentral lists this ribosomal RNA (483 nucleotides) under uncultured bacterium. Its description in RNAcentral is "partial 16S ribosomal RNA". It matches the Rfam family "Bacterial small subunit ribosomal RNA", at positions 30 to 507 of the family's 1533-position model. The record is from RNAcentral.
AUUGAACGCUGGCGGCAGGCCUAACACAUGCAAGUCGAGCGGAUGAAGGGAGCUUGCUCCUGGAUUCAGCGGCGGACGGGUGAGUAAUGCCUAGGAAUCUGCCUGGUAGUGGGGGAUAACGUCCGGAAACGGGCGCUAAUACCGCAUACGUCCUGAGGGAGAAAGUGGGGGAUCUUCGGACCUCACGCUAUCAGAUGAGCCUAGGUCGGAUAGCUAGUUGGUGGGGUAAAGGCCUACCAAGGCGACGAUCCGUAACUGGUCUGAGAGGAUGAUCAGUCACACUGGAACUGAGACACGGUCCAGACUCCUACGGGAGGCAGCAGUGGGGAAUAUUGGACAAUGGGCGAAAGCCUGAUCCAGCCAUGCCGCGUGUGUGAAGAAGGUCUUCGGAUUGUAAAGCACUUUAAGUUGGGAGGAAGGGCAGUAAGUUAAUACCUUGCUGUUUUGACGUCACCAACAGGAUAAGCACCGGCUAACUUCGUG